UCCCAGACAAGGAGCCAACGCCACCU
This 26-nucleotide non-coding RNA is filed under the name Mus musculus (house mouse). Lineage: Eukaryota; Metazoa; Chordata; Mammalia; Rodentia; Muridae. The record is from RNAcentral.